This 280-nucleotide ribosomal RNA is filed under the name uncultured bacterium. RNAcentral's name for it is "partial 16S ribosomal RNA". It matches the Rfam family "Bacterial small subunit ribosomal RNA", at positions 32 to 311 of the family's 1533-position model. The record is from RNAcentral.
AAUCAACGCUGGCGGCGUGCCUCAGACAUGCAAGUCGAACGCGAAAGCCCGCAAGGGUAAGUAGAGUGGCGCACGGGUGAGUAACACGUGGACAACCUGCCUUCGAGUGGGGAAUAACCUUCCGAAAGGAGGGCUAAUACCGCAUAACACCUCGGGACACAAGUCUUGGGGUUGAAAAGAGCAAUUUGCUCGAAGAGGGGUCCGCGCCUGAUUAGCUAGUUGGUGAGGUAACGGCUCACCAAGGCUUCGAUCAGUAGCCGUCCUGGAGGUGGCCGGCCGA